CCAUCUAGAAUGACAGUGAAGAUGACAACCAGUGUCAAGGCUCCAGACAGAUGAGUGACCCAUCUUAACUCCUCUGAGCCUGGUUAAGUUGCCAGGUGAUUACAGCCAUAUGGGUGACCCCAGGUAUCAGAGGGAGUAAGUGAUUUGCCCAGGGGCACAAUGCUAUCAGCGAAAGGAUCAGGAUUCACAGCUGGCCAUUCUGACAGGCUGCAUCCUGGGAUCUUCACAACACCACCCUAUUCAGUAAACUCCUAGAGUCAUUUUCAAGUGCACAAGUGCAGCAGUUUCUUUAGGGUACAUGCCUGAAAAGGAAAUAUCUGGAUCUUAGAAGAUGCUCCUCCUUAUCAAGUAUCCCAAAUAUAGUAUUGCUAAAUCACUUCACCAAGUGGCUUAACCCUGCUCUCAGCCAUGCAUGAAAACACCUGCUACUCUACAUCUUGCCAUCCACACCCAGAAAGAAAAACACCAUCCAGCAGAAGCUCGGUGCUGAGGUGUCAGAAUCAGAAACUACUCUUCAGAGAAUUCAACUGAGUCAUUUGGAGAUGACGGUUGACUAGAGAUAUUUUAUCACUUUCUGACAUUUUAAGUUAAAUCUCCUUUAGAGAAAUUGUGGAGUUUGAAGUUGCUUAGCAAAAGUCUGCUAAUUCUCUGUAUUGUAUUAUCAGCAAUUUGAGGACAGGGAUCAAGUCUCCUCAUUUAUUUUUAAUCCCUGGGGUGGUACUGACACAGAA
Canis lupus familiaris (dog) is the source of this 731-nucleotide long non-coding RNA. RefSeq lists it as uncharacterized. Lineage: Eukaryota; Metazoa; Chordata; Mammalia; Carnivora; Canidae. The transcript has 4 exons. The record is from RefSeq and is a predicted model, not a curated record.